Molecule: unclassified non-coding RNA, 378 nt
Filed under: soil metagenome
Description: partial contains 5.8S ribosomal RNA, internal transcribed spacer 2, and large subunit ribosomal RNA
Rfam family: 5.8S ribosomal RNA (bases 1-120)
Source: RNAcentral
GAUGAAGAACGUAGCGAAAUGCGAUAAGUAAUGUGAAUUGCAGAAUUCAGUGAAUCAUCGAAUCUUUGAACGCACAUUGCGCCCGCCAGUAUUCUGGCGGGCAUGCCUGUUCGAGCGUCAUUUCAACCCUCAAGCCCCAGCGGCCUGGUGUUGGGGACCGGCGACCUCGCCCGAGCCCGCCCUCCGGGGCGCGUGCCCGGUGCGUCCGCCGCCCCCGAAAUGAAUUGGCGGCCUCGUCGCGGCCUCCUCUGCGUAGUAGCACAACCUCGCAAGCGGGAGCGCGACGCGGCCACUGCCGUAAAACGCCCAACUUUUUUAGAGUUGACCUCGGAUCAGGUAGGAAUACCCGCUGAACUUAAGCAUAUCAAUAGCGGAGGA